This 216-nucleotide ribosomal RNA is filed under the name Glomeromycotina sp. Its description in RNAcentral is "partial small subunit ribosomal RNA". The stretch from base 40 to 216 matches the Rfam family "Eukaryotic small subunit ribosomal RNA", at positions 686 to 864 of the family's 1831-position model. Lineage: Eukaryota; Fungi; Glomeromycota. The record is from RNAcentral.
GGGUCAUUAGGUUGGUCGUGCCACCGGUACGUACUGGUCUAACUGAUUCCUCCUUCCUGAAGAACCGUAAUGCCAUUAAUUUGGUGUUGCGGGGAAACAGGACUGUUACUUUUAAAAAAUUAGAGUGUUUAAAGCAAGCUAACGCUUGAAUACAUUAGCAUGGAAUAAUGAAAUAGGACGAUCGAUCCUAUUUUGUUGGUUUCUAGGAUUGACGUA